Molecule: ribosomal RNA, 495 nt
Filed under: uncultured bacterium
Lineage: Bacteria
Description: partial 16S ribosomal RNA
Rfam family: Bacterial small subunit ribosomal RNA
Source: RNAcentral
UGAACGCUGGCGGCGUGCCUAAUACAUGCAAGUCGAGCGACCAGAUGAGGAGCUUGCUCCUCUGACGUUAGCGGCGGACGGGUGAGUAACACGUGGAUAACCUACCUAUAAGACUGGGAUAACUUCGGGAAACCGGAGCUAAUACCGGAUAAUAUAUUGAACCGCAUGGUUCAAUAGUGAAAGACGGUUUUGCUGUCACUUAUAGAUGGAUCCGCGCCGCAUUAGCUAGUUGGUAAGGUAACGGCUUACCAAGGCAACGAUGCGUAGCCGACCUGAGAGGGUGAUCGGCCACACUGGAACUGAGACACGGUCCAGACUCCUACGGGAGGCAGCAGUAGGGAAUCUUCCGCAAUGGGCGAAAGCCUGACGGAGCAACGCCGCGUGAGUGAUGAAGGUCUUCGGAUCGUAAAACUCUGUUAUUAGGGAAGAACAAAUGUGUAAGUAACUAUGCACGUCUUGACGGUACCUAAUCAGAAAGCCACGGCUAACUACGUG